Pan paniscus (pygmy chimpanzee) is the source of this 369-nucleotide long non-coding RNA. The record is from Ensembl. NCBI's taxonomy places the organism in Eukaryota, Metazoa, Chordata, Mammalia, Primates, Hominidae.
CUUCCCAUGGGUAUGAACAGUGCUGUGAGGGUGGGCAGCCACUCUUGAGGGGCUCUGACUGCCCUGGAAGAAAAGAAGAAGGAAAUUCAAGAGCUGUGAGUGCAGUCAGAAACUCCAGUGAGUUCCAAAAACACAGGAAGUUGAGAUUCAAGGUAAAACAGAAGAGGACAAAGAACAUCUGAAUCUUUCAAUCCACUGUAUCAUGGGUGUGGCCUCCAGAAAAGGAAAUUGGAAAGAACGUGGAACUCUCAACAACGAAAGCAAUGAAGCUGCCUUGCUUAAGGAGGAAAAGAUGGUGGUGACCAAGUUUCCAACCUUGCUGGGUGGGACAAGGGCAGAGAGGAGCACCCAGGACCCUUCACUCAUGUG